GGAACUAUGUAGCUAAUACUGUUGUAACGGGGAUCCUUAUUGUAGCAACACACUUUUGGAUGGAAGGCAACCCUGCGCUGCGUUAACUAAGUUUUCAUGUCAUCCGGUGUAGUUCAUAAAGGUUGAAGCGUGUAUGUUAGGAUGAAGUGUGAAUUCAUGCAAGGAAUAAUAAGUGUGAAGUUUGAUUUCCUCCCUUCUGUAAUAAGCAGCCAAUGAGUUCUCACGGAAGGGGAUAAUUCUCACUGAAACUACAGAAUAAAGCCGUCCAGUUAAAAUCAAGGAACGGUUGUGCUCGUGGUUACUGAAGGGAGCUACAAGACCCUUAUCCGUUUCGAAUUCACCAACUCAAAGACGCUUGCCCUCUCCAUCAUAACUCCGUAAGUUUUCCCUCCCUGUGUAGAUCAAACGUCCUGCCUGUAAAUCCUGGGUAUGCCCACAUCAUUAAUGAAUAAGAUGUGUAGAAAAACUGUUUAUCCAUAGUUAAAGGCCUUUCAUAAAGAGGCUGUCCUGAUUUCAUGUGCCUCAUGUUUAACACGUAUUGCUUGUUACAGAAUACUACUGUUGUACAUCUAAUAUCCCCUAGCAGAUUUCGUUGCCUUUGCACAAAUUCUGUCAUGUUACUGUGGUCUUUUUAAAAGUCAAUAAAUAUGUGUGGAAAGUGUA
Long non-coding RNA from Oncorhynchus gorbuscha (pink salmon), 663 nucleotides. RefSeq lists it as uncharacterized. Lineage: Eukaryota; Metazoa; Chordata; Actinopteri; Salmoniformes; Salmonidae. The transcript has 2 exons. The record is from RefSeq and is a predicted model, not a curated record.